UAGGGUUGGGCUUGGAGCUAGGAUUUUUCUGAGUGCAAUGAACCAACUCCCGAGUCUCUAGGACGUUCCUAAAAAAAUUUGAUUUUUUCCCAUAGGAAUGCAUGGGUUAGGGUUAGGGUUAGAGUUGGAGCUAGGGUUAGGGUUAGGGUUAGGGUUGGGUUAGGGUUAGUGCCAACCCAAUUUUUCACCUUCCAGAAUAGUGUUAGGAGCACGUUUCAGGGCACGGGGAGUCUAUUGAACCUAAUUCUGGGGGAAGUUUUUUGAAAGGUUUACUUAGGGUUUGGGUUAGGGUUAGGGUUGGAGCUAGGGUUAAGGUUGGAGCUAGGGUUAGGGUUAGGGUUAGGAUUAGGGUGGAGCUAGGGUUAGGGUUAGGGUUAGAGCUAGGGUUAGGGUUGGGGCUAGGGUUAGGGUUAGGGUUAAGGUUGGAGCUAGGGUUAGGGUUAGGGUUAGGGUUGGAGCUAGGGUUAGGGUUAGGGUUAGGGUUGGAGUUCGGGUUAGUGUUGGAGCUAGGGUUAGGGUUAGGGUUAGGGUUGGAGUUAGGGUUUGUGUUGGAGCUAGGGUUAGGGUUGGGGUUGUAGUUAGGGUUAGUGUUGGAGCUAGCGUUAGGGUUGGGCUUGGAGCUAGAAUUUUUCUGAGUGCAAUGAACCAACUCCCGAGUCUCUAGGACGUUCCUAAAAAAAAUUGAUUUUUUCCCAUAGGAAUGCAUGGGUUAGGGUUAGGGUUAGUGUUGGAGUUAGGGUUAGGGUUAGGGUUAGGGUUGGAGUUAGGGUUAGUGUUGGAGCUAGGGUUAGGGUUGGGCUUGGAGCUAGGAUUUUUCUGAGUGCAAUGAACCAACUCCCGAGUCUCUAGGACGUUCCUAAAAAAAAUUGAUUUUUUCCCAUAGGAAUGCAUGGGUUAGGGUUAGGGUUAGAGUUGGAGCUAGGGUUAGGGUUAGGGUUAGGGUUGGGUUAGGGUUAGUGCCAACCCAAUUUUUCACCUUCCAGAAUAGUGUUAGGAGCACGUUUCAGGGCACGGGGAGUCUAUAGAACCUAAUUCUGGGGGAAGUUUUUUGAAAGGUUUACUUAGGGUUAGGGUUGGAGCUAGGGUUAAGGUUGGAGCUAGGGUUAGGGUUAGGGUUAGGAUUAGGGUGGAGCUAGGGUUAGGGUUAGGGUUAGAGCUAGGGUUAGGGUUGGGGCUAGGGUUAGGGUUAGGGUUAAGGUUGGAGCUAGGGUUAGGGUUAGGGUUAGGGUUGGAGCUAGGGUUAGGGUUAGGGUUAGGGUUGGAGCUAGGGUUAGGGUUAGGGUUGGAGUUAGGGUUAGUGUUGGAGCUAGGGUUAGGGUUGGGCUUGGAGCUAGGAUUUUUCUGAGUGCAAUGAACCAACUCCCGAGUCUCUAGGACGUUCCUAAAAAAAUUUGAUUUUUUUCCCCAUAGGAAUGCAUGGGUUAGGGUUAGGGUUAGGGUUGGAGCUAGGGUUAGGGUUAGGGUUAGGGUUGGAGUAAGGGUUAGUGUUGGAGCUAGGGUUAGGGUUGGGCUUGGAGCUAGGAUUUUUCUGAGUGCAAUGAACCAACUCCCGAGUCUCUAGGACAUUCCUAAAAAAAUUUGAUUUUCUUCCCAUAGGAAUGCAUGGGUUAGGGUUAGGGUUAGGGUUGGAGUUAGGGUUAGUGUUGGAGCUAGGGUUAGGGUUGGGCUUGGAGCUAGGAUUUUUCUGAGUGCAAUGAACCAACUCCCGAGUCUCUAGGACGUUCCUAAAAAAAUUUGAUUUUUUUCCCCAUAGGAAUGCAUGGGUUAGGGUUAGGGUUAGGGUUGGAGCUAGGGUUAGGGUUAGGGUUAGGGUUGGAGUAAGGGUUAGUGUUGGAGCUAGGGUUAGGGUUGGGCUUGGAGCUAGGAUUUUUCUGAGUGCAAUGAACCAACUCCCGAGUCUCUAGGACAUUCCUAAAAAAAUUUGAUUUUUUUCCCCAUAGGAAUGCAUGGGUUAGGGUUAGGGUUAGGGUUGGAGCUAGGGUUAGGGUUAGGGUUAGGGUUGGAGUAAGGGUUAGUGUUGGAGCUAGGGUUAGGGUUGGGCUUGGAGCUAGGAUUUUUCUGAGUGCAAUGAACCAACUCCCGAGUCUCUAGGACAUUCCUAAAAAAAUUUGAUUUUCUUCCCAUAGGAAUGCAUGGGUUAGGGUUAGGGUUAGGGUUGGAGUUAGGGUUAGUGUUGGAGCUAGGGUUAGGGUUGGGCUUGGAGCUAGGAUUUUUCUGAGUGCAAUGAACCAACUCCCGAGUCUCUAGGACGUUCCUAAAAAAAUUUGAUUUUUUUUCCCAUAGGAAUGCAUGGGUUAGGGUUAGGGUUAGGGUUGGAGCUAGGGUUAGGGUUAGGGUUAGGGUUGGAGUAAGGGUUAGUGUUGGAGCUAGGGUUAGGGUUGGGCUUGGAGCUAGGAUUUUUCUGAGUGCAAUGAACCAACUCCCGAGUCUCUAGGACGUUCCUAAAAAAAUUUGAUUUUUUUCCCCAUAGGAAUGCAUGGGUUAGGGUUAGGGUUAGGGUUGGAGCUAGGGUUAGGGUUAGGGUUAGGGUUGGAGUAAGGGUUAGUGUUGGAGCUAGGGUUAGGGUUGGGCUUGGAGCUAGGAUUUUUCUGAGUGCAAUGAACCAACUCCCGAGUCUCUAGGACAUUCCUAAAAAAAUUUGAUUUUCUUCCCAUAGGAAUGCAUGGGUUAGGGUUAGGGUUAGGGUUGGAGUUAGGGUUAGUGUUGGAGCUAGGGUUAGGGUUGGGCUUGGAGCUAGGAUUUUUCUGAGUGCAAUGAACCAACUCCCGAGUCUCUAGGACGUUCCUAAAAAAAUUUGAUUUUUUUUCCCAUAGGAAUGCAUGGGUUAGGGUUAGGGUUAGGGUUGGAGCUAGGGUUAGGGUUAGGGUUAGGGUUGGAGUAAGGGUUAGUGUUGGAGCUAGGGUUAGGGUUGGGCUUGGAGCUAGGAUUUUUCUGAGUGCAAUGAACCAACUCCCGAGUCUCUAGGACGUUCCUAAAAAAAUUUGAUUUUUUCCCAUAGGAAUGCAUGGGUUAGGGUUAGGGUUAGGGUUGGAGCUAGGGUUAGGGUUAGGGUUGGAGUUAGGGUUAGUGUUGGAGCUAGCGUUAGGGUUGGGCUUGGAGCUAGGAUUUUUCUGAGUGCAAUGAACCAACUCCCGAGUCUCUAGGACGUUCCUAAAAAAAAUUGAUUUUUUCCCAUAGGAAUGCAUGGGUUAGGGUUAGGGUUAGGGUUGGAGCUAGGGUUAGGGUUAGGGUUAGGGUUGGAGUUAGGGUUAGUGUUGGAGCUAGCGUUAGGGUUGGGCUUGGAGCUAGGAUUUUUCUGAGUGCAAUGAACCAACUCCCGAGUCUCUAGGACGUUCCUAAAAAAAAUUGAUUUUUUCCCAUAGGAAUGCAUGGGUUAGGGUUAGGGUUAGAGUUGGAGCUAGGGUUAGGGUUAGGGUUAGGGUUGGGUUAGGGUUAGUGCCAACCCAAUUUUUCACCUUCCAGAAUAGUGUUAGGAGCACGUUUCAGGGCACGGGGAGUCUAUAGAACCUAAUUCUGGGGGAAGUUUUUUGAAAGGUUUACUUAGGGUUUGGGUUAGGGUUAGGGUUGGAGCUAGGGUUAAGGUUGGAGCUAGGGUUAGGGUUAGGGUUAGGAUUAGGGUGGAGCUAGGGUUAGGGUUAGGGUUAGAGCUAGGGUUAGGGUUGGGGCUAGGGUUAGGGUUAGGGUUAAGGUUGGAGCUAGGGUUAGGGUUAGGGUUAGGGUUGGAGCUAGGGUUAGGGUUAGGGUUAGGGUUGGAGCUAGGGUUAGGGUUAGGGUUGGAGCUAGGGUUAGGGUUGGGCUUGGAGCUAGGAUUUUUCUGAGUGCAAUGAACCAACUCCCGAGUCUCUAGGACGUUCCUAAAAAAAAUUGAUUUUUUUCCCAUAGGAAUGCAUGGGUUAGGGUUAGGGUUAGGGUUGGAGCUAGGGUUAGGGUUAGGGUUAGGGUUGGAGUUAAGGGUUAGUGUUGGAGCUAGGGUUAGGGUUGGGCUUGGAGCUAGGAUUUUUCUGAGUGCAAUGAACCAACUCCCGAGUCUCUAGGACGUUCCUAAAAAAAAUAGAUUUUUUCCCAUAGGAAUGCAUGGGUUAGGGUUAGGGUUAGGGUUGGAGCUAGGGUUAGGGUUAGGGUUAGGGUUGGAGUUAGGGUUAGUGUUGGAGCUAGGGUUAGGGUUAGGGUUAGGGUUGGAGUUAGGGUUUGUGUUGGAGCUAGGGUUAGGGUUGGGCUUGGAGCUAGGAUUUUUCUGAGUGCAAUGAACCAACUCCCGAGUCUCUAGGACGUUCCUAAAAAAAUUUGAUUUUUUCCCAUAGGAAUGCAUGGGUUAGGGUUAGGGUUAGGGUUGGAGCUAGGGUUAGGGUUAGGGUUGGAGUUAGGGUUAGUGUUGGAGCUAGCGUUAGGGUUGGGCUUGGAGCUAGGAUUUUUCUGAGUGCAAUGAACCAACUCCCGAGUCUCUAGGACGUUCCUAAAAAAAAUUGAUUUUUUCCCAUAGGAAUGCAUGGGUUAGGGUUAGGGUUAGUGUUGGAGUUAGGGUUAGGGUUAGGGUUAGGGUUGGAGUUAGGGUUAGUGUUGGAGCUAGCGUUAGGGUUGGGCUUGGAGCUAGGAUUUUUCUGAGUGCAAUGAACCAACUCCCGAGUCUCUAGGACGUUCCUAAAAAAAAUUGAUUUUUUCCCAUAGGAAUGCAUGGGUUAGGGUUAGGGUUAGAGUUGGAGCUAGGGUUAGGGUUAGGGUUAGGGUUGGGUUAGGGUUAGUGCCAACCCAAUUUUUCACCUUCCAGAAUAGUGUUAGGAGCACGUUUCAGGGCACGGGGAGUCUAUAGAACCUAAUUCUGGGGGAAGUUUUUUGAAAGGUUUACUUAGGGUUUGGGUUAGGGUUAGGGUUGGAGCUAGGGUUAAGGUUGGAGCUAGGGUUAGGGUUAGGGUUAGGAUUAGGGUGGAGCUAGGGUUAGGGUUAGGGUUAGAGCUAGGGUUAGGGUUGGGGCUAGGGUUAGGGUUAGGGUUAAGGUUGGAGCUAGGGUUAGGGUUAGGGUUAGGGUUGGAGCUAGGGUUAGGGUUAGGGUUAGGGUUGGAGCUAGGGUUAGGGUUAGGGUUAGUGUUGGAGCUAGGGUUAGGGUUGGGCUUGGAGCUAGGAUUUUUCUGAGUGCAAUGAACCAACUCCCGAGUCUCUAGGACGUUCCUAAAAAAAUUUGAUUUUUUCCCAUAGGAAUGCAUGGGUUAGGGUUAGGGUUAGGGUUGGAGCUAGGGUUAGGGUUAGGGUUAGGGUUGGAGUAAGGGUUAGUGUUGGAGCUAGGGUUAGGGUUGGGCUUGGAGCUAGGAUUUUUCUGAGUGCAAUGAACCAACUCCCGAGUCUCUAGGACAUUCCUAAAAAAAUUUGAUUUUUUUCCCAUAGGAAUGCAUGGGUUAGGGUUAGGGUUAGGGUUGGAGUUAGGGUUAGUGUUGGAGCUAGGGUUAGGGUUGGGCUUGGAGCUAGGAUUUUUCUGAGUGCAAUGAACCAACUCCCGAGUCUCUAGGACGUUCCUAAAAAAAUUUGAUUUUUUUUCCCAUAGGAAUGCAUGGGUUAGGGUUAGGGUUAGGGUUGGAGCUAGGGUUAGGGUUAGGGUUAGGGUUGGAGUAAGGGUUAGUGUUGGAGCUAGGGUUAGGGUUGGGCUUGGAGCUAGGAUUUUUCUGAGUGCAAUGAACCAACUCCCGAGUCUCUAGGACAUUCCUAAAAAAAUUUGAUUUUCUUCCCAUAGGAAUGCAUGGGUUAGGGUUAGGGUUAGGGUUGGAGUUAGGGUUAGUGUUGGAGCUAGGGUUAGGGUUGGGCUUGGAGCUAGGAUUUUUCUGAGUGCAAUGAACCAACUCCCGAGUCUCUAGGACGUUCCUAAAAAAAUUAGAUUUUUUCCCAUAGGAAUGCAUGGGUUAGGGUUAGGGUUAGGGUUGGAGCUAGGGUUAGGGUUAGGGUUAGGGUUGGAGUUAGGGUUAGUGUUGGAGCUAGGGUUAGGGUUGGGCUUGGAGCUAGGAUUUUUCUGAGUGCUAUGAACCAACUCCCGAGUCUCUAGGACGUUCCUAAAAAAAUUUGAUUUUUUCCCAUAGGAAUGCAUGGGUUAGGGUUAGGGUUAGGGUUGGAGCUAGGGUUAGGGUUAGGGUUAGGGUUGGAGCUAGGGUUAGGGUUAGGGUUAGGGUUGGAGUUAGGGUUAGUGUUGGAGCUAGGGUUAGGGUUGGGCUUGGAGCUAGGAUUUUUCUGAGUGCAUUGAACCAAGUCCCGAGUCUCUAGGACAUUCCUAAAAAAAUUUGAUUUUUUCCCAUAGGAAUGCAUGGGUUAGGGUUAGGGUUAGGGUUGGAGCUAGGGUUAGGGUUAGGGUUAGGGUUGGAGUUAGGGUUUGUGUUGGAGCUAGGGUUAGGGUUGGGCUUGGAGCUAGGAUUUUUCUGAGUGCAAUGAACCAACUCCCGAGUCUCUAGGACGUUCCUAAAAAAAUUUGAUUUUUUCCCAUAGGAAUGCAUGGGUUAGGGUUAGGUUUAGGGUUGGAGUUAGGGUUAGGGUUAGGGUUGGAGUUAGGGUUAGUGUUGGAGCUAGGGUUAGGGUUGGGCUUGGAGCUAGGAUUUUUCUGAGUGCAAUGAACCAACUCCCGAGUCUCUAGGACGUUCCUAAAAAAAUUUGAUUUUUUCCCAUAGGAAUGCAUGGGUUAGGGUUAGGGUUAAGGUUGGAGCUAGGGUUAGGGUUAGGGUUAGGGUUGGGUUAGGGUUAGGGUUAGGGUUAGAGUUAGGGUGGAGCUAGGGUUAGGGUUGGGGCUAGGGUUAGGGUUAGGGUUGGGGCUAGGGUUAGGUUUGGGUUAGGGUUAAGGUUGGAGCUAGGGUUAGGGUUAGGGUUAGGGUUGGAGCUAGGGUUAGGGUUAGGGUUAGGGUUGGAGUUAGGGUUAAGGUUGGAGCUAGGGUUAGGGUUGGGCUUGGAGCUAGGAUUUUUCUGAGUGCAAUGAACCAACUCCUGAGUCUCUAGGACGUUCCUAAAAAAAUUGAUUUUUUCCCAUAGGAAUGCAUGGGUUCGGUUUAGGAUUAGGGUUGGAGCUAGGGUUAGGGUUAGGGUUAGGGUUGGAGUUAGGGUUAGUGUUGAAGCUAGGGUUAGGGUUGGGCUUGGAGCUAGGAUUUUUCUGAGUGCAAUGAACCAACUCCUGAGUCUCUAGGACGUUCCUAAAAAAAUUUGAUUUUUUCCCAUAGGAAUGCAUGGGAAAAAAAAAUUGAAAAAUGUUCUAAGUGCCAACCCAAUUUUUCACCUUCCAGAAUAGUGUUAGGAGCACGUUUCAGGACACGGGGAGUCUAUAGAACCUAAUUCUGGGGGAAGUUUUUUGAAAGGUUUACUUAGGGUUUGGGUUAGGGUUAGGGUUGGAGCUAGGGUUAGGGUUAGGGUUAAGGUUGGAGCUAGGGUUAGGGUUAGGAUUAGGGUGGAGCUAGGGUUAGGGUUAGGGUUAGAACUAGGGUUAGGGUUGGGGCUAGGGUUAGGGUUAGGGUUAAGGUUGGAGCUAGGGUUAGGGUUAGGGUUAGGGUUGGAGCUAGGGUUAGGGUUAGGGUUAGGGUUGGAGCUAGGGUUAGGGUUAGGGUUGGAGUUAGG
This is a non-coding RNA of Xyrichtys novacula (pearly razorfish), 7569 nucleotides long. The record is from the annotation of a GenBank genome assembly. Lineage: Eukaryota; Metazoa; Chordata; Actinopteri; Labriformes; Labridae.